This 405-nucleotide ribosomal RNA is filed under the name uncultured bacterium. RNAcentral describes it as "bacterial SSU rRNA". It matches the Rfam family "Bacterial small subunit ribosomal RNA", at positions 354 to 775 of the family's 1533-position model. The record is from RNAcentral.
GUGAGGAAUAUUGCACAAUGGGCGCAAGCCUGAUGCAGCAACGCCGCGUGCGGGACGAAGGCCUUCGGGUCGUAAGCCGCUUUUCUGGGGAAAGAGCAAGGACGGUACCUCAGGAAUAAGUCUCGGCUAACUACGUGCCAGCAGCCGCGGUAAAACGUAGGAGGCGAGCGUUAUCCGGACUUACUGGGUGUAAAGCGCACGCAGGCGGCUCUGUGAGUCGGACGUGAAAGCUCCCGGCUUAACCGGGAGAGGCCGUUCGAUACUGCGGGGCUUGAGGUAGGGAGAGGAAUGCGGAAUUCCCGGUGUAGUGGUGGAAUGCGUAGAUAUCGGGAGGAACACCUGUGGCGAAAGCGGCAUUCUGGCCCUCACCUGACGCUGAGGUGCGAAAGCGUGGGUAGCAAACAG